This 550-nucleotide ribosomal RNA is filed under the name Entrophospora sp. RNAcentral's name for it is "SSU rRNA". It matches the Rfam family "Eukaryotic small subunit ribosomal RNA", at positions 477 to 1116 of the family's 1831-position model. The record is from RNAcentral. Lineage: Eukaryota; Fungi; Glomeromycota; Glomeromycetes; Entrophosporales; Entrophosporaceae.
AAUGAGGGGGAUCAGCUCAUAGCGUAUAUUAAAGUUGUUGCAGUUAAAAAGCUCGUAGUUGAAUUUCGGGAUUGACACAUCGGUCGUGCCUUAAGGGGUAUGAACUGGUGUAGUCAAUUUCUCACCUUCUGGAGAACCGCGAUGCCCUUAAUUGGGUGUCACGGGGAACCAGGACCUUUACUUUGAAAAAAUUAGAGUGUUUAAAGCAGGCAUUUUGCUUGAAUACAUUAGCAUGGAAUAAUAAAAUAGGACGGCAUGAUUCUAUUUUGUUGGUUUCUAGGAUCACCGUAAUGAUUAAUAGGGAUAGUUGGGGGCAUUAGUAUUCAAUUGUCAGAGGUGAAAUUCUUGGAUUUAUUGAAGACUAACUACUGCGAAAGCAUUUGCCAAGGAUGUUUUCAUUAAUCAAGAACGAAAGUUAGGGGAUCGAAGACGAUCAGAUACCGUCGUAGUCUUAACCAUAAACUAUGCCGACUAGGAAUCAGACGAUGUUAAUUUUUUAAUGACUCGUUUGGCACCUUACGGGAAACCAAAGUUUUGGGGUUACAAAAAA